RNAcentral lists this long non-coding RNA (3724 nucleotides) under Trifolium pratense (red clover). RNAcentral describes it as "long non-coding RNA (TPRA_LNC000069)". The record is from RNAcentral. Lineage: Eukaryota; Viridiplantae; Streptophyta; Magnoliopsida; Fabales; Fabaceae.
AUGUUGCCUAUUUUAGAUAUGGCUAAAAAUGUUGGUCGAACAAGACUUGACCACAACACAUGGUUCUAUACGUGGAGAGCGUGCGACAAAUGGUCUUGCUCUAAAACGAGGUCAUGGCAGAAGAGGUCAAGACGAUGCUGAAGCGUCCUUCUCACAUGCGGAACAGGACACACAACCACAGUUGCAUGUUGAAGCGUCCUUCUCGCAUGCUUAAAUUUAAACUUACAUUUCCUUCCCAUAAUAAACUUAAAUUUUUCUUCUCAGAUACCGGUUGCAACAUGCUUAGAAAAUCAAGAGAAGUGACAAAUCAGACAAACUUCCACCAAAGCACCGAUUACCUGUUGGUCGUGGUGGGCAUUGUGGUGACAGCGUGCAAUGGUACCUCCGACAACUCAUCCUCAACCUAAAACUGUGGUAGUGCGUCUUGCUGAGCCUGUGAGAACGACGCUUCAGCAUCAUCUUGACUUCUUUCAUCCCAACCCCAUUUUUUAGCAGGAGCAUUUGCAUGCUCUUUGUGCGAAACCAUGUGCUGCAGUCUCUUUACCAAGUCUUAUUCUACCAACAUUUUUAGCCAUAUCUAAAAUAACCAACAAAAAAGUUUUUAAAAAUUUCAUACAAACAUUAACUCAAACACUUAGAGCACAAAAACAACAAUCACAUUCUUAAAACAAACUCAAUACCACAAAUCAAUAAUUACUAACAACAAUGCCAUUAAAAAAAACUUACAAACAACAACUAAAUCUAUACCUAAACAAUGCUUUAAUAAAUCUUAUUGCUGUAUUUUGCUACUCAAUCCCUAAUCAAUUUCAUCUUAAUCAACAACUAAGAAACCCUAACAUUCAACAAAAACAAAAUUAGAGGAAGGUAACACUUGUUGGAUUUAAAAAGAAAUGUGACAACAAAUACAAUGUCUUUGACGUCGGUUUGAUGGAAAUCAAUGGAUGAAGUUAGAAUAGGCUUUGGAUGUCAAGAACUCAAACUUUCGAUGUUUGAAAUCUAGUAAAACGCAUGAAUAAAAUGGUGUUUGUUCAGGUGUUACGUUGAUACGAAUCAGAAGAUAUCUUCCAAAACUUAGUGAGCAAAAGAUAUAUCUUCUGAAACUAUCAGAAUUAUCUUCCAAGCGACACUAAAAGGGCAUUUUGAGAUUUUUGGGGGGCAUGUAAGCAAUAUCAAGGCCUAAAGAGCAAUUUUCCAAUUUCUAAACUUGUCAUGACUCAAAUCAAAAUUAAUCAAGAAAAAUAUCAAACCUGAAGACUAUUGAUAUUCAAUUACAACAAUUUCAUGUUUUUUUUCACACUUCCAUUUUUACAUUUGAAUGCAUAAUACAGUAAUAAUUACUAUAAGAAAAAAAAUACUUUAUUCAAUCCUAUUGAUAAUUAUUGCAUUCACUAGUUUCCUACUUUUUUACAAGUUAAGCAUAAUAAAAACUGACAUAUUUUAGUAAACUAACCAAUAACUCAUCAUAAUGGAAUUAUCGAAAUCUCAUCAAUCUUGGAAAAACAUCGUAUCUCAAGGUGGAAAUUGAAAGUAAAAGCCCAAAAAUGGUAGUGCCAGGUAAAAAAAAGAGAGCAUCUUUUGGCACUCCUAAGUUUUUUUAGCCCUUUGAAAAUACCCAUUCAACUUAAGCAGCAAACUCAAUUCGCUACUUAAGUAGCGGACGGUGUACAAUCUUGAAAAAUGUAUGUUAGAGGUAUUUUUUUUCUUUCAAAUUUCUUAUUUUUAUAAUGUCCGCUAUUAAGUAGCGGAAGGGUAAAAUAGAAAACUAAGAGGGCUUGCGAGAAGUAUAGGGGGGACGCCAAAAGAAGCUCUCAGUACAAAAACUUAGAAAGUCAAAAUCAAUUUAUUGGACAAAAAAAAAUGCUCUUCCUUCACAAGCCCAAACCUAUUUAUUGGACCANNNNNNNNNNNNNNAUUGUGGGGGAGGUGAGACGGUCUGUGCAGUAAUAGGCAUGCUACUGUGUGUCCACAGUUCAAACAUGCCAAUAGUAUUGUUAACUUGGUGAAAGAAAACAAUUGUUUGUAUUACAUGACAAAUUUAUUGCAAACAAGUCCAGUAAAUCAAAUAAUUAGUUCAUAAACCAAUCAAUUGCUAAAUAAUAUUAAAUUUUGGCACAAGAGAUUUGGUUAAAAUAAAAUAAAGAUGUGAAAGAGUUUGAAGAUAACAGCUCAACAACAGAGCACGCCCAGCAGGUUGUUUAAAACUAAACCAAGUAAUUCAAUUUUCCCAAGAAUUUUGAUAAUCUCGCUCUAAAACUCAAAUCAUUGCAGAGUAAAAAAAAACAUGCUGGAGUACUAAUUGCUUGUUUGGUAAUAUAGUGAGUUUGCCGAAAUCAAGACCGCCUCCGAUUUUGUCAAACUCACAAUGAUACUAAACAUGCACUAAGUACUCACUUCAAGAUAUAUGCAUAUAUCUUUUUGUUGAAAAAACAAAGAUUAAUUCCUGGACAUAGGCCUUAAUUUUGGCACAUAACACAUGUUAUAGAGCAAGAAUAAGCUGCAGAGGUUGAAAUAGAAUGAAAAUAGCCUAAAAAUAGUAAACUACACAUGAAAAUCCAAGAAAAUUAUAUUUGACGUCCAAAUUUUAUGUAAAAAUUCAUUAAUCCACAGACAAUUACCCAAAACAAGUCCCAACUACAUCACAAAUAAAGUACUUUGCUGAUUUAGCUGAAAUAAUUCAAGAUAAGACAAACAUAUCAUAUGUCAUCAUAAAUUUAUGAAGAAUUGACUCAUGGCUGCUUUGUAUGACAUCAUGAUAUUUGAAAUUGCAAGCAUGGCAUUUUUCUAUUAAACUACUAAUCAAACUCGUAAAUAGUCUUCACACACAGCCAAAAACAGUGUGGAACAGAAUAUCAAUUCAGUAUAUACACACAAGAUGCCUUGUUUUCACUUUCAUAUAAUACAAAAAAUACAUAAAAUUGCACUAUGACAAUCCAACGAGCCAGGAGGUUUGCAAAUUGUAGUAAAUUAAAUUCCCUCUCCAUCAGUACCCAACGUUUUGCAAAAAUGAAUUAAAAAAAAUCAUAUUUUCUAUCAAACAUAUAUAUAAUAUAUACAUUAAUUACAUGCUAAUAUGCUAUUCAUCAAAUCAAAACAAAACAAAACAAAACAAAAAUCAUCUUCUACCAAAAUAAAAUGUCAUAAAAAAAUAUGCUUACAUGGAAUGGAUGAACUGGUUCAAAGAUACACUUCUAGUUCUACCAUGUCAAAAUAUGCAUGCGUUGAAUCAAUGAUGGCUGGUUGAAUUGGUUCAAGUUCACACCUUCUUUACCUUUUCUCUAUUUCCUGUCAAAAUUAAAUAAGCAACUUAGUUAGCAUGAAAAGAAAAACAUCUUAUAGUCUUAUUCAUAGUCUUCUCUACUCCCCACCCACAACUUUCCUGUCAUAGUCUCACCCUAACUAACGAACAUCUAUAUACAAAUAACAAAUAUAUUUAAUCACACAAAAUUUCUGAAUCCCAAAGUCAAUAGCAAUAAUAAUGAAAACAAUAUAAAUCAAAUAAACAAAUAGAAAACAAAAGAAACAGCUUCAUUCAACAGCUUUAUUCCAGCAAGCACCUAAUUUCUUUCUCUGUCAAAUUUGAUAAACACAAAAUCAAAAGAGACUAUUUAGAAUUGAAUACUCUUACCAUUACCACCCCCACCGCGUCGUCGCCGCCACCAUGGAUAGGUUGGUGAAAGCAGAGUUCAAGGAAGUGGAGCUUAACUUUCAGAAGAAUCAAAAGUGC